CCUACGGGGGGCUGCAGUGGGGAAUAUUGGACAAUGGGCGAAAGCCUGAUCCAGCCAUGCCGCGUGUGUGAAGAAGGCCUUCGGGUUGUAAAGCACUUUCAGUGGGGAAGAAAGCCUUGGGGCUAAUACCCUCGAGGAAGGACAUCACCCACAGAAGAAGCACCGGCUAACUCCGUGCCAGCAGCCGCGGUAAUACGGAGGGUGCGAGCGUUAAUCGGAAUUACUGGGCGUAAAGCGCGCGUAGGCGGUCUGAUAAGCCGGUUGUGAAAGCCCCGGGCUCAACCUGGGAACGGCAUCCGGAACUGUCAGGCUAGAGUGCAGGAGAGGAAGGAAGAAUCCCCGGUGUAGAGGUGAAAUGCGUAGAGAUCGGAAGGAAUACCAGUGGCGAAGGCGGCCUUCUGGACUGACACUGACGCUGAGGUGCGAAAGCGUGGGUAGCAAACAGGAUUAGAUACCCCGGAGUC
Molecule: ribosomal RNA, 464 nt
Filed under: Vreelandella stevensii
Lineage: Bacteria; Pseudomonadati; Pseudomonadota; Gammaproteobacteria; Oceanospirillales; Halomonadaceae
Description: partial 16S ribosomal RNA
Rfam family: Bacterial small subunit ribosomal RNA
Source: RNAcentral